This is a long non-coding RNA of Zingiber officinale, 1707 nucleotides long. RefSeq lists it as uncharacterized. Lineage: Eukaryota; Viridiplantae; Streptophyta; Magnoliopsida; Zingiberales; Zingiberaceae. The record is from RefSeq and is a predicted model, not a curated record. The transcript is spliced from 7 exons.
UUCUUUUAUUUCUUUCCCAAACCUGUCGCGACUCUCCACCUUCCUUGCGCGACUCUCUGCCCUCCUCGCCGCUCGAGUCUCCACCGCCUCCUCGCCGCUCGAGUCUCCGCUGCCUCCUCGCCGCUCGAUUCUCCGCCUCAUCCUUGCCACCUCUCUCUGUCCUCCUCGCCGCUCGAGUCUCCAGCUCAUCCUUGCCGCUCGAAUCUCCACCUUCUCCUCGCCAUGAAUCACCAGUUGCAGAGCAUUCCCACACAGGGGAACCAAAUGGCGGCCUAGCAAUUCACGCUGUUCGCCGACGACCCGAGGCUCGCGGAAAAAGCCGCGAGGUUCCCUUGCUUCGGCGUGAGGAAUCUCGCAGAGGCGGGAAAGCUGUCUAGGGUUUUGAGCAGCCAGUCUCUCAUGUCAGCCAACAAUGGAAAAAGGGUAGCAAUAUCUGACGCGAUCAUGGAAAAGCCCAGAUUUAGCGGUAGGGUUUCAUACUCGUCUUUGCUAGGAGCUUCACCGAUGUCAGAUAGUUUGGUGAUGAUUGGUGCCGAGAGGAAUGGGAGGAAGCGGAAAGCGGCUCCAAAGUGCCAAGGAAAAAUCUCACCUUUGUCUUCCCCCAACAUGAAUCCUCCCAAGGAGGUAAUUUCUGGUACAAAGAAAUGCAAACUGCACGAGGGCAUGAGCAGAACAUCAAUGGUAGCCGGAAACUGGGAGAAGAUGCCAAACUGUUUGAGCCGCCAAAGGAUUACAUCCAUAUCAUGGCAAGAAGAGGGCAAGCCACCGACAACCACAACCUAGCUGAGAGGAGAGAAAAGAUCAGUGAGAGAAUGAAGCUUCUCCAAAAUCUUGUGCCAGGUUGCAACAAGGUGGCAGGCAAGGCUGUUAUGCUCGAUGAGAUCAUCAACUACGUGCAGUGCUUGCAGUGGCAAGUUGAGGUGAGACCCUUGCUAUAGAUAGCAAUGGAAGAUGCAGUAUACGAUGCCCUUAUGUAUCCAUUCUUAUACAAUGACUACGGUCCUGUUGAGGCAGGGAGAAUGGUGGCAUGCACUGCUGCUUGUUUGUGCCAUGCUGCAGCUCUUCGCCCAAGCAUGAGUCAAUUGUUUGCAUUUGAAGAUCAGACUACUGUUCAAUCUCCACCAGGAUCAUCAGCUGCCGAUACUUUGUUCCAAUCAGUACAUUGAGAACAACUUUGCUCGUGGUUCUAACUCCAUCAACAACAAAUCCUUAAAAACUCCAUGUGAAGAAACCAUUGAGAUUUAAGUUGCAAUCAAUUCAGAUGCUGUGAGAUUAUUAAUAUUCAUCAAGUUUUGUAAUAUUUAUUCAAAGAUGAUCCGGUGGUAAGAGCCCGGGACGCCCUAACAAGGGGUCAAUGCCACAUGGAGGUCAAAGGGCCAGGUGGUUCGUCGAAGAAGGGUGAGCCAACCGAACGCAUGGAAAAAGGGUAGGCCGAUCGGCCUGCCCGUAAACGUUUGAUAGUGAAAGACGCCCUGACAGGGGUCGGGGUUCCGACGCUCAAUGAAACAGUAAAUAAGGACCGAGCGGAAGGCCUAGGAGAAGGCAGGACAUAAUGGGAGCGCCGGCCGGCUGGCGCGGGGAAUUAGGGCCAUCCGGACGACGCUCUUCGCGCCGGUCGGCCGGACGGACGUCCUGGCCGGGCGGUGGGUGAAGGAUAGGAACAUCUUCUGACAGCCGUCAAGUCCUAUGGCUAGGCCAUACUCUAAG